Molecule: long non-coding RNA, 1033 nt
Organism: Carassius gibelio (silver crucian carp)
Lineage: Eukaryota; Metazoa; Chordata; Actinopteri; Cypriniformes; Cyprinidae
Exons: 4
Source: RefSeq, a predicted model, not a curated record
UACACACACACAUACGCACAGUAAUGUAUAAGAUGCAUGUAAUGUAGUAAUAUUUUUCUUUCUUUCUGUCUUACAGGAUUGUUUGCAGAUAAUGCUGUUCAAGCUCAACAGCUCUUUUAAGAGCCAACCCUCACAAACCUUCCUAAAAACUAAAAGAGCUGUUACUGAGUCUCAGCGAAUCUUGCCAUGAUCAGCUCUUCCCAGAAGAGAAGGAAGACCAAGGAAAUGAUUUGCUCAUGAGGAAUGAAGACGGCCAUCUUGAGCCCAAACAAAGACAGAAGUCCUCUGAUGAUCUCAUCAGCCAAAUGGGGGGUUUUGACCAAGUGAUGCUCUUGAAAGGACUGAAAGAAGAGGAUGUGGUAAAUUGUCUUCAGAGAAAAACCUUCUCAAAAGGUCUCAAAACAGCUUGAAGAAUGGUCUGGGAUCUUAGGACUGAGAGAUCCUCUGGCUGAGAGAAGCUACACCACAUCAGUGCUGGAUAUCAACCACAAACAGUUUCCAGACACGAGAGAAGAAGAUCACGAUGGGGAGAUGAAACCAGUUUAGAUGUGAUGAUGGGAAUCAUUAUUUUCUGGAACAGUAUCACAUGUCUUAUAUGCAUCACAUGAUCUGUAUCACAGUUGACUGAAUGGAUUAUUUUUACUUUUAAGGACAUUUCAUCACUCAUCUGUGUGAACUGAUUAAUUUAUGAUAUUAAUGAAUUUUUGAUCCUUUAUUAUUUUCCUUGAAUUGUGUUUGUCUUGAAGCUACUUUAUCAACUUCAUAGUCUAUGCUUCAAUAAAAUUAAUAUGGUGAAUAUUGUGUGUUGAAAAUUCUUGGUAAAUUCAUAAUUUUACUAGAUACUGUAGGCUACUAUGGGUUUAUUCUACACUUGAAAAACUACAUAUUAAUUACCAGGAUUAUUUUUUGCUUAAACAUUAAUGACAUCUGGAACAACAAUACACCAGAAAGUUAUUAUUGUAUAUAUUUAAUCACAAAUAUGCCUAUAUAUCUAUAUAAAGGGAUUUACUAGAUGAAUUAUUUUGAAAAGCCA